Molecule: ribosomal RNA, 492 nt
Filed under: uncultured bacterium
Lineage: Bacteria
Description: partial 16S ribosomal RNA
Rfam family: Bacterial small subunit ribosomal RNA
Source: RNAcentral
AGUGAACGCUGGCGGUAGGCCUAACACAUGCAAGUCGAACGGCAGCACAGUAAGAGCUUGCUCUUACGGGUGGCGAGUGGCGGACGGGUGAGGAAUACAUCGGAAUCUACUUUUUCGUGGGGGAUAACGUAGGGAAACUUACGCUAAUACCGCAUACGACCUACGGGUGAAAGCAGGGGAUCUUCUGACCUUGCGCGAUUGAAUGAGCCGAUGUCGGAUUAGCUAGUUGGCGGGGUAAAGGCCCACCAAGGCGACGAUCCGUAGCUGGUCUGAGAGGAUGAUCAGCCACACUGGAACUGAGACACGGUCCAGACGCCUACGGGAGGCAGCAGUGGGGAAUAUUGGACAAUGGGCGCAAGCCUGAUCCAGCCAUACCGCGUGGGUGAAGAAGGACUUCGGGUUGUAAAGCCCUUUUGUUGGGAAAGAAAAGCAGCAGGUUAAUACCCCGCUGUUCUGACGGUACCCAAAGAAUAAGCACCGGCUAACUUCGUG